RNAcentral lists this ribosomal RNA (2515 nucleotides) under Pseudomonas aeruginosa. RNAcentral's name for it is "bacterial LSU rRNA". It matches the Rfam family "Bacterial large subunit ribosomal RNA", at positions 3 to 2556 of the family's 2925-position model. Lineage: Bacteria; Pseudomonadati; Pseudomonadota; Gammaproteobacteria; Pseudomonadales; Pseudomonadaceae. The record is from RNAcentral.
UCAAGUGAAGAAGCGCAUACGGUGGAUGCCUUGGCAGUCAGAGGCGAUGAAAGACGUGGUAGCCUGCGAAAAGCUUCGGGGAGUCGGCAAACAGACUUUGAUCCGGAGAUCUCUGAAUGGGGGAACCCACCUAGGAUAACCUAGGUAUCUUGUACUGAAUCCAUAGGUGCAAGAGGCGAACCAGGGGAACUGAAACAUCUAAGUACCCUGAGGAAAAGAAAUCAACCGAGAUUCCCUUAGUAGUGGCGAGCGAACGGGGAUUAGCCCUUAAGCUUCAUUGAUUUUAGCGGAACGCUCUGGAAAGUGCGGCCAUAGUGGGUGAUAGCCCCGUACGCGAAAGGAUCUUUGAAGUGAAAUCGAGUAGGACGGAGCACGAGAAACUUUGUCUGAACAUGGGGGGACCAUCCUCCAAGGCUAAAUACUACUGACUGACCGAUAGUGAACCAGUACCGUGAGGGAAAGGCGAAAAGAACCCCGGAGAGGGGAGUGAAAUAGAACCUGAAACCGUAUGCGUACAAGCAGUGGGAGCCUACUUGUUAGGUGACUGCGUACCUUUUGUAUAAUGGGUCAGCGACUUAUAUUCAGUGGCAAGCUUAACCGUAUAGGGUAGGCGUAGCGAAAGCGAGUCUUAAUAGGGCGUUUAGUCGCUGGGUAUAGACCCGAAACCGGGCGAUCUAUCCAUGAGCAGGUUGAAGGUUAGGUAACACUGACUGGAGGACCGAACCCACUCCCGUUGAAAAGGUAGGGGAUGACUUGUGGAUCGGAGUGAAAGGCUAAUCAAGCUCGGAGAUAGCUGGUUCUCCUCGAAAGCUAUUUAGGUAGCGCCUCAUGUAUCACUCUGGGGGGUAGAGCACUGUUUCGGCUAGGGGGUCAUCCCGACUUACCAAACCGAUGCAAACUCCGAAUACCCAGAAGUGCCGAGCAUGGGAGACACACGGCGGGUGCUAACGUCCGUCGUGAAAAGGGAAACAACCCAGACCGCCAGCUAAGGUCCCAAAGUUGUGGUUAAGUGGUAAACGAUGUGGGAAGGCUUAGACAGCUAGGAGGUUGGCUUAGAAGCAGCCAUCCUUUAAAGAAAGCGUAAUAGCUCACUAGUCGAGUCGGCCUGCGCGGAAGAUGUAACGGGGCUCAAACCACACACCGAAGCUGCGGGUGUCACGUAAGUGACGCGGUAGAGGAGCGUUCUGUAAGCCUGUGAAGGUGAGUUGAGAAGCUUGCUGGAGGUAUCAGAAGUGCGAAUGCUGACAUGAGUAACGACAAUGGGUGUGAAAAACACCCACGCCGAAAGACCAAGGGUUCCUGCGCAACGUUAAUCGACGCAGGGUUAGUCGGUUCCUAAGGCGAGGCUGAAAAGCGUAGUCGAUGGGAAACAGGUUAAUAUUCCUGUACUUCUGGUUACUGCGAUGGAGGGACGGAGAAGGCUAGGCCAGCUUGGCGUUGGUUGUCCAAGUUUAAGGUGGUAGGCUGAAAUCUUAGGUAAAUCCGGGGUUUCAAGGCCGAGAGCUGAUGACGAGUCGUCUUUUAGAUGACGAAGUGGUUGAUGCCAUGCUUCCAAGAAAAGCUUCUAAGCUUCAGGUAACCAGGAACCGUACCCCAAACCGACACAGGUGGUCGGGUAGAGAAUACCAAGGCGCUUGAGAGAACUCGGGUGAAGGAACUAGGCAAAAUGGCACCGUAACUUCGGGAGAAGGUGCGCCGGCUAGGGUGAAGGAUUUACUCCGUAAGCUCUGGCUGGUCGAAGAUACCAGGCCGCUGCGACUGUUUAUUAAAAACACAGCACUCUGCAAACACGAAAGUGGACGUAUAGGGUGUGACGCCUGCCCGGUGCCGGAAGGUUAAUUGAUGGGGUUAGCGCAAGCGAAGCUCUUGAUCGAAGCCCCGGUAAACGGCGGCCGUAACUAUAACGGUCCUAAGGUAGCGAAAUUCCUUGUCGGGUAAGUUCCGACCUGCACGAAUGGCGUAACGAUGGCGGCGCUGUCUCCACCCGAGACUCAGUGAAAUUGAAAUCGCUGUGAAGAUGCAGUGUAUCCGCGGCUAGACGGAAAGACCCCGUGAACCUUUACUGUAGCUUUGCACUGGACUUUGAGCCUGCUUGUGUAGGAUAGGUGGGAGGCUUUGAAGCGUGGACGCCAGUUCGCGUGGAGCCAUCCUUGAAAUACCACCCUGGCAUGCUUGAGGUUCUAACUCUGGUCCGUGAUCCGGAUCGAGGACAGUGUAUGGUGGGCAGUUUGACUGGGGCGGUCUCCUCCUAAAGAGUAACGGAGGAGUACGAAGGUGCGCUCAGACCGGUCGGAAAUCGGUCGCAGAGUAUAAAGGCAAAAGCGCGCUUGACUGCGAGACAGACACGUCGAGCAGGUACGAAAGUAGGUCUUAGUGAUCCGGUGGUUCUGUAUGGAAGGGCCAUCGCUCAACGGAUAAAAGGUACUCCGGGGAUAACAGGCUGAUACCGCCCAAGAGUUCAUAUCGACGGCGGUGUUUGGCACCUCGAUGUCGGCUCAUCACAUCCUGGGGCUGA